RNAcentral lists this non-coding RNA (224 nucleotides) under Rhodanobacter fulvus. The record is from RNAcentral. RNAcentral also lists the same sequence under 1 other name. Lineage: Bacteria; Pseudomonadati; Pseudomonadota; Gammaproteobacteria; Lysobacterales; Rhodanobacteraceae.
CUAAAGUGGCGCGGUUCAGGUGUCCCGACGGCCCCACGCCGAAGGGAUGAAACGGGAAGCCGGUGCGUGGUGUUGAUCACCGCAAGGCCGGCGCUGCCCCCGCAACGGUAAGCGAGAAUCGUCGAUCAGCGAAUGCCACUGUGCUUGCACGGGAAGGCGCUGAUCGAGGCAGGUUUCCCCUGCCACUCGCGAGCCCGGAGACCGGCCUGCACGAUUUCUGGUGG